CAAUAGCGUAUAUUAAAGUUGUUGCAGUUAAAAAGCUCGUAGUUGGAUUUCUGGUAGGAGUGACCGUUCCGAACUUGAUUGUUCGUGUAUUGUGUUUUCUCCAGCCAUCCUUGUGGAGAACUUUUCUUGCAUUAAUUUGUAGGGAUUGGGACCCGCAUCGUUUACUGUGAAAAAAUUAGAGUGUUUAAAGCAGGCAAUCGCUUGAAUACAUUAGCAUGGAAUAAUAAGAUAGGACUUUGGUACUAUUUUGUUGGUUUGCAUACCAAAUUAAUGAUCAACAGGAACAGUUUGAGGAUAUUCGUAUGAGCAUGUCAGAGGUGAAAUUCUUGGAUUUUGAUCAGACGAACUACUGCGAAAGCAUUUAUCAAGGAUGUUUUCAUUAA
This 383-nucleotide ribosomal RNA is filed under the name uncultured eukaryote. Its description in RNAcentral is "partial 18S ribosomal RNA". It matches the Rfam family "Eukaryotic small subunit ribosomal RNA", at positions 592 to 976 of the family's 1831-position model. The record is from RNAcentral.